RNAcentral lists this non-coding RNA (23 nucleotides) under Cricetulus griseus (Chinese hamster). The record is from RNAcentral. Lineage: Eukaryota; Metazoa; Chordata; Mammalia; Rodentia; Cricetidae.
GAAGUCAGGACCUCUGGAAGAGC